This 321-nucleotide ribosomal RNA is filed under the name Salmonella enterica. RNAcentral describes it as "bacterial SSU rRNA". It matches the Rfam family "Bacterial small subunit ribosomal RNA", at positions 1 to 318 of the family's 1533-position model. Lineage: Bacteria; Pseudomonadati; Pseudomonadota; Gammaproteobacteria; Enterobacterales; Enterobacteriaceae. The record is from RNAcentral. RNAcentral also lists the same sequence under 1 other name.
AAAUUGAAGAGUUUGAUCAUGGCUCAGAUUGAACGCUGGCGGCAGGCCUAACACAUGCAAGUCGAACGGUAACAGGAAGCAGCUUGCUGCUUUGCUGACGAGUGGCGGACGGGUGAGUAAUGUCUGGGAAACUGCCUGAUGGAGGGGGAUAACUACUGGAAACGGUGGCUAAUACCGCAUAACGUCGCAAGACCAAAGAGGGGGACCUUCGGGCCUCUUGCCAUCAGAUGUGCCCAGAUGGGAUUAGCUUGUUGGUGAGGUAACGGCUCACCAAGGCGACGAUCCCUAGCUGGUCUGAGAGGAUGACCAGCCACACUGGAA